This 460-nucleotide ribosomal RNA is filed under the name uncultured bacterium. Its description in RNAcentral is "partial 16S ribosomal RNA". It matches the Rfam family "Bacterial small subunit ribosomal RNA", at positions 338 to 795 of the family's 1533-position model. The record is from RNAcentral.
CCUACGGGAGGCAGCAGUGAGGAAUAUUGGUCAAUGGACGCGAGCCUGAACCAGCCAAGUAGCGUGAAGGAUGACUGCCCUACGGGUUGUAAACCUCUUUUAUAAAGGAAUAAAGUGCAGCACGUGUGCCGUUUUGUAUGUACCUUAUGAAUAAGGAUCGGCUAACUCCGUGCCAGCAGCCGCGGUAAUACGGAGGAUCCGAGCGUUAUCCGGAUUUAUUGGGUUUAAAGGGAGCGUAGGUGGGUGCUUAAGUCAGUUGUGAAAGUUUGCGGCUCAACCGUAAAAUUGCAGUUGAUACUGGCAGCCUUGAGUACAGUUGAGGUAGGCGGAAUUCGUGGUGUAGCGGUGAAAUGCUUAGAUAUCACGAAGAACUCCGAUUGCGAAGGCAGCUUACUAAACUGCCACUGACGCUGAUGCUCGAAAGUGUGGGUAUCAAACAGGAUUAGAUACCCGGGUAGUC